Molecule: ribosomal RNA, 662 nt
Filed under: Vibrio vulnificus
Lineage: Bacteria; Pseudomonadati; Pseudomonadota; Gammaproteobacteria; Vibrionales; Vibrionaceae
Description: partial 23S ribosomal RNA
Rfam family: Bacterial large subunit ribosomal RNA
Source: RNAcentral
GAGGCUUUGAAGACGUGACGCCAGUUGCGUUGGAGCCGUCCUUGAAAUACCACCCUUGUAUGUUUGAUGUUCUAACGUUGGCCCCUAAUCGGGGUUGCGGACAGUGCCUGGUGGGUAGUUUGACUGGGGCGGUCUCCUCCCAAAGAGUAACGGAGGAGCACGAAGGUGGGCUAAUCACGGUUGGACAUCGUGAGGUUAGUGCAAUGGCAUAAGCCCGCUUAACUGCGAGAAUGACGGUUCGAGCAGGUGCGAAAGCAGGUCAUAGUGAUCCGGUGGUUCUGAAUGGAAGGGCCAUCGCUCAACGGAUAAAAGGUACUCCGGGGAUAACAGGCUGAUACCGCCCAAGAGUUCAUAUCGACGGCGGUGUUUGGCACCUCGAUGUCGGCUCAUCACAUCCUGGGGCUGAAGUCGGUCCCAAGGGUAUGGCUGUUCGCCAUUUAAAGUGGUACGCGAGCUGGGUUUAGAACGUCGUGAGACAGUUCGGUCCCUAUCUGCCGUGGGCGUUGGAAGAUUGAAGGGGGCUGCUCCUAGUACGAGAGGACCGGAGUGGACGAACCUCUGGUGUUCGGGUUGUGUCGCCAGACGCAUUGCCCGGUAGCUAAGUUCGGAAUCGAUAACCGCUGAAAGCAUCUAAGCGGGAAGCGAGCCCUGAGAUGAGUCUU